This 253-nucleotide ribosomal RNA is filed under the name uncultured bacterium. RNAcentral describes it as "partial 16S ribosomal RNA". It matches the Rfam family "Bacterial small subunit ribosomal RNA", at positions 524 to 776 of the family's 1533-position model. The record is from RNAcentral.
UACGUAGGGUGCAAGCGUUAAUCGGAAUUACUGGGCGUAAAGCGUGCGCAGGCGGUGAUGUAAGACAGGUGUGAAAUCCCCGGGCUCAACCUGGGAACUGCAUCCGAGACUGCAUUGCUAGAGUAUGGGAGAGGGAAGCGGAAUUUCUGGUGUAGCAGUGAAAUGCGUAGAUAUCAGAAGGAACAUCAGUGGCGAAGGCGGCUUCCUGGACCAAUACUGACGAUCAGGUGCGAAAGCGUGGGGAGCAAACAGG